This 603-nucleotide ribosomal RNA is filed under the name uncultured fungus. RNAcentral describes it as "eukaryotic LSU rRNA". It matches the Rfam family "Eukaryotic large subunit ribosomal RNA", at positions 23 to 641 of the family's 3401-position model. The record is from RNAcentral. Lineage: Eukaryota; Fungi.
ACCCGCUGAACUUAAGCAUAUCAAUAAGCGGAGGAAAAGAAACCAACAGGGAUUGCCCUAGUAACGGCGAGUGAAGCGGCAACAGCUCAAAUUUGAAAUCUGGCGUCUUUGGCGUCCGAGUUGUAAUUUGCAGAGGGCGCUUUGGCAUUGGCAGCGGUCCAAGUUCCUUGGAACAGGACGUCACAGAGGGUGAGAAUCCCGUACGUGGUCGCUAGCCUUUACCGUGUAAAGCCCCUUCGACGAGUCGAGUUGUUUGGGAAUGCAGCUCUAAAUGGGAGGUAAAUUUCUUCUAAAGCUAAAUACUGGCCAGAGACCGAUAGCGCACAAGUAGAGUGAUCGAAAGAUGAAAAGCACUUUGGAAAGAGAGUUAAAAAGCACGUGAAAUUGUUGAAAGGGGAGCGCUUGCAGCCAGACUUGCCUGUAGUUGCUCAUCCGGGUUUCUACCCGGUGCACUCUUCUAUAGGCAGGCCAGCAUCAGUUUGGGCGGUUGGAUAAAGGUCUCUGUCAUGUACCUCUCUUCGGGGAGAACUUAUAGGGGAGACGACAUGCAACCAGCCUGGACUGAGGUCCGCGCAUCUGCUAGGAUGCUGGCGUAAUGGCUGU